Molecule: ribosomal RNA, 587 nt
Filed under: uncultured bacterium
Lineage: Bacteria
Description: bacterial SSU rRNA
Rfam family: Bacterial small subunit ribosomal RNA
Source: RNAcentral
CCUACGGGAGGCAGCAGUGGGGAAUCUUGCACAAUGGAGGAAACUCUGAUGCAGCGAUGCCGCGUGAGUGAAGAAGGCCUUUGGGUUGUAAAGCUCUUUUGUAGGGGAAGAUAAUGACUGUACCCUAAGAAUAAGGUCCGGCUAACUUCGUGCCAGCAGCCGCGGUAAUACGAAGGGACCUAGCGUAGUUCGGAAUUACUGGGCGUAAAGCGCGCGUAGGCCGUUGAGUUAGUUAAUUGUGAAAUCCCAAAGCUUAACUUUGGAACUGCAAUUAAAACUGCUCGACUAGAGUUUGAUAGAGGAAAGCGGAAUACAUAGUGUAGAGGUGAAAUUCGUAGAUAUUAUGUAGAACACCAGUUGCGAAGGCGGCUUUCUGGAUCAACACUGACGCUGAGGCGCGAAAGUAUGGGUAGCAAAGAGGAUUAGAUACCCUCGUAGUCCAUACCAUAAACGAUGAUUGCUAGAUGUUGGAAAUUUAUUUUCAGUAUCGCAGCUAACGCAUUAAGCAAUCCGCCUGGGGAGUACGACCGCAAGGUUAAAACUCAAAUGAUAAGUAGNGUUGAGAGUUGCGAGCGACACGAGGAGAG